AGUGAACGCUGGCGGUAGGCCUAACACAUGCAAGUCGAACGGCAGCACAGUAAGAGCUUGCUCUUACGGGUGGCGAGUGGCGGACGGGUGAGGAAUACAUCGGAAUCUACUUUUUCGUGGGGGAUAACGUAGGGAAACUUACGCUAAUACCGCAUACGACCUACGGGUGAAAGCAGGGGAUCUUCUGACCUUGCGCGGUUGAAUGAGCGGCUGUCGGGUUAGCUAGUUGGCGGGGUAAAGGCCAACCAAGGCGACGAUCCGUAGCUGGUCUGAGAGGAUGAUCAGCCACACUGGAACUGAGACAGCGUCCAGACUCCUACGGGAGGCAGCAGUGGGGAAUAGUGGACAAAGGGCGCAAGCCUGAUCCAGCCAUACCGCGUGGGUGAAGAAGGCCUUCGGGUUGUAAAGCCCUUUUGUUGGGAAAGAAAAGCAGCAGGUUAAUACCCCGCUGUUCUGACGGUACCCAAAGAAUAAGCACCGGCUAACUUCGUG
Molecule: ribosomal RNA, 492 nt
Filed under: uncultured bacterium
Lineage: Bacteria
Description: partial 16S ribosomal RNA
Rfam family: Bacterial small subunit ribosomal RNA
Source: RNAcentral